RNAcentral lists this ribosomal RNA (259 nucleotides) under uncultured bacterium. RNAcentral's name for it is "partial 16S ribosomal RNA". It matches the Rfam family "Bacterial small subunit ribosomal RNA", at positions 92 to 354 of the family's 1533-position model. The record is from RNAcentral.
CGAGUGGCGGACGGGUGAGUAAUGUCUGGGAAACUGCCCGGUGGAGGGGGAUAACUACUGGAAACGGUAGCUAAUACCGCAUAACGUCGCAAGACCAAAGAGGGGGACCUUCGGGCCUCUUGCCACCGGAUGUGCCCAGAUGGAAUUAGCUUGUUGGUGAGGUAACGGCUCACCAAGGCGACGAUCCCUAGCUGGUCUGAGAGGAUGACCAGCCACACUGGAACUGAGACACGGUCCAGACUCCUACGGAAGGCAGCAG